This 200-nucleotide unclassified non-coding RNA is filed under the name Xylaria sp. RNAcentral's name for it is "partial internal transcribed spacer 2". The record is from RNAcentral. Lineage: Eukaryota; Fungi; Ascomycota; Sordariomycetes; Xylariales; Xylariaceae.
UUAAGUUCAGCGGGUAUUCCUACCUGAUCCGAGGUCAAACUUUAGAAUUGGGGUGUUUUACGGCAGGGGACCGGCCCAACUACAGACGAGAUAGAUUUACUACGUCUAGAGUGUGAGACCGACUCCGCCACUAACUUUGGGGAGCUACGGUGAUGUAGGCUCCCAACGCUAAGCAACAGGGCUUAAGGGUUAAGAUGACG